AUACGUAGGGGGCGAGCGUUGUCCGGAAUGAUUGGGCGUAAAGGGCGCGUAGGCGGCCCGGUAAGUCUGGAGUGAAAGUCCUGUUUUUAAGUUGGGAAUUGCUUUGGAUACUGUCGGGCUUGAGUGCAGGAGAGGUAAGUGGAAUUCCCAGUGUAGCGGUGAAAUGCGUAGAGAUUGGGAGGAACACCAGUGGCGAAGGCGACUUACUGGACUGUAACUGACGCUGAGGCGCGAAAGUGUGGGGAGCAAACAGGAUUAGAUACCCUGGUAGUCCACACUGUAAACGAUGAAUGCUAGGUGUAGGGGGUAUCGACCCCUUCUGUGCCGCAGUCAACACAAUAAGCAUUCCGCCUGGGGAGUACGGCCGCAAGGUUGAAACUCAAAUGAAUUGGCGGGG
This 397-nucleotide ribosomal RNA is filed under the name uncultured bacterium. RNAcentral describes it as "partial 16S ribosomal RNA". It matches the Rfam family "Bacterial small subunit ribosomal RNA", at positions 523 to 918 of the family's 1533-position model. The record is from RNAcentral.